RNAcentral lists this ribosomal RNA (718 nucleotides) under uncultured bacterium. RNAcentral describes it as "bacterial SSU rRNA". It matches the Rfam family "Bacterial small subunit ribosomal RNA", at positions 28 to 790 of the family's 1533-position model. The record is from RNAcentral.
AACGAACGCUGGCGGCAGGCCUAACACAUGCAAGUCGAGCGAGACCUUCGGGUCUAGCGGCGGACGGGUGAGUAACGCGUGGGAAUGUGCCCUUCUCUACGGAAUAGUCCCGGGAAACUGGGUUUAAUACCGUAUACGCCCUUCGGGGGAAAGAUUUAUCGGAGAAGGAUCAGCCCGCGUCUGAUUAGGUAGUUGGUGGGGUAAUGGCCUACCAAGCCUACGAUCAGUAGCUGGUUUUAGAGGAUGAUCAGCCACACUGGGACUGAGACACGGCCCAGACUCCUACGGGAGGCAGCAGUGGGGAAUCUUAGACAAUGGGCGCAAGCCUGAUCUAGCCAUGCCGCGUGAGUGAUGAAGGCCUUAGGGUCGUAAAACUCUUUCGCCAGGGAUGAUAAUGACAGUACCUGGUAAAGAAGCCCCGGCUAACUCCGUGCCAGCAGCCGCGGUAAUACGGAGGGGGCUAGCGUUGUUCGGAAUUACUGGGCGUAAAGCGCGCGUAGGCGGACUAUUAAGUCAGGGGUGAAAUCCCGGGGCUCAACCCCGGAACUGCCCUUGAUACUGGUAGUCUUGAGUUCGAGAGAGGUGAGUGGAAUUCCGAGUGUAGAGGUGAAAUUCGUAGAUAUUUCGGAGGAACACCAAUGGCGAAGGCGGCUCACUGGCUCGAUACUGACGCUGAGGUGCGAAAGUGUGGGGAGCAAAACAGGAUUAGAUACCCUGG